RNAcentral lists this ribosomal RNA (277 nucleotides) under uncultured bacterium. Its description in RNAcentral is "partial 16S ribosomal RNA". It matches the Rfam family "Bacterial small subunit ribosomal RNA", at positions 28 to 314 of the family's 1533-position model. The record is from RNAcentral.
GACGAACGCUGGCGGCGUGCUUAACACAUGCAAGUCAAGGGGGGGUAGCAAUACUCAACCGGCGAACGGGUGCGUAACACGUGAGCGACCUACCUUGUGGCGGGGGAUAGCCGGCCCAACGGCCGGGUAAUACCGCAUACGCUCUUUGCUGGGCAUCUGGUGAAGAGGAAACUUACGAGGCCAGGAGAGGGGCUCGCGGCCUAUCAGCUAGUUGGCGGGGUAAUGGCCCACCAAGGCGGUGACGGGUAGCUGGUCUGAGAGGAUGGCCAGCCACAUU